CCUACGGGAGGCAGCAGUGAGGAAUAUUGGUCAAUGGCCGUGAGGCUGAACCAGCCAAGUAGCGUGAAGGAUUACUGCCCUACGGGUUGUAAACCUCUUUUAUAAAGGAAUAAAGUGAGGCACGUGUGCAUUUUUGUAGGUACUUUAUGAAUAAGGAUCGGCUAAUUCCGUGCCAGCAGCCGCGGUAAUACGGAGGAUCCGGGCGUUAUCCGGAUUUAUUGGGUUUAAAGGGAGCGUAGGUGGGUUGUUAAGUGUGUCGUGAAAUUUUGCGGCUCAACCGUAAGAGUGCGAUGCGUACUGGCAGUCUUGAGUGCAGUGAAGGUAGGCGGAAUUCGUGGUGUAGCGGUGAAAUGCUUAGAUAUCACGAAGAACUCCGAUUGCGAAGGCAGCUUGCUAAACUGCCACUGACGUUGAAGCUCGAAAGUGUGGGUAUCGAACAGGAUUAGAUACCCUGGUAGUC
This 460-nucleotide ribosomal RNA is filed under the name uncultured bacterium. Its description in RNAcentral is "partial 16S ribosomal RNA". It matches the Rfam family "Bacterial small subunit ribosomal RNA", at positions 338 to 795 of the family's 1533-position model. The record is from RNAcentral.